GAGUUUGAUCGUGGCUCAGAGUGAACGCUGGCGGUAGGCCUAACACAUGCAAGUCGAACGGUAACAGGUCUUUCGGGAUGCUGACGAGUGGCGGACGGGUGAGGAAUACAUCGGAAUCUGCUCAGUCGUGGGGGAUUACGCAUGGAAACGUGCGCUAAUACCGCAUACGACCUUCGGGUGAAAGCAGGGGAAUCUUUAGGGAUCCUUGCGCGAUUGAAUGAGCCGAUGUCGGAUUAGCUAGUUGGUAGGGUAAAAGCCUACCAAGGCGACGAUCCGUAGCUGGUCUGAGAGGAUGAUCAGCCACACUGGGACUGAGACACGGCCCAGACUCCUGCGGGAGGCAGCAGUGGGGAAUAUUGGACAAUGGGGGCAACCCUGAUCCAGCCAUACCGCGUGGGUGAAGAAGGCCUUCUGGGUUGUAAAGCCCUUUUGUUGGGGAAGAAAAACAACGGGUUAAUACCCCGUUGGUAUGACGGUACCCAAAGAAUAAGCACCGGCUAACUUCGUGCCAGCAGCCGCGGUAAUACGAAGGGUGCAAGCGUUACUCGGAAUUACUGGGCGUAAAGGGUGCGUAGGUGGUUGCGCCAGUCUGUCGUGAAAGCCCUGGGCUUAACCUGGGAAUGGCGAUGGAAACUGUGCAACUAGAGUGUGACAGAGGGUGGUGGAAUUCCUGGUGUAGCAGUGAAAUGCGUAGAGAUCAGGAGGAACAUUCGUGGCGAAGGCGGCCACCUGGGUCAACACUGACACUGAGGCACGAAAGCGUGGGGAGCAAACAGGAUUAGAUACCCUGGUAGUCCACGCCCUAAACGAUGCGAACUGGAUGUUGGGUCCAACUUGGGAUUCAGUAUCGAAGCUAACGCGUUAAGUUCGCCGCCUGGGGAGUACGGUCGCAAGACUGAAACUCAAAGGAAUUGACGGGGGCCCGCACAAGCGGUGGAGUAUGUGGUUUAAUUCGAUGCAACGCGCAGAACCUUACCUGGCCUUGACAUGCACGGGAGUCUUUAGAGAUAGAG
Molecule: ribosomal RNA, 1013 nt
Filed under: uncultured Lysobacterales bacterium
Lineage: Bacteria; Pseudomonadati; Pseudomonadota; Gammaproteobacteria; Lysobacterales
Description: bacterial SSU rRNA
Rfam family: Bacterial small subunit ribosomal RNA
Source: RNAcentral